UACGGGGGGGGCAAGCGUUGUUCGGAAUUACUGGGCGUAAAGGGCUCGUAGGCGGCCAACUAAGUCAGACGUGAAAUCCCCAGGCUCAACCUGGGAACUGCGUCUGAUACUGGAUGGCUUGAAUCCGGGAGAGGGAUGCAGAAUUCCAGGUGUAGCGGUGAAAUGCGCAGAUAUCUGGAGGAAUACCGGUGGCGAAGGCGGCAUCCUGGACCGGCAUUGACGCUGAGGAGCGAAAGCUAGGGGAGCAAACGGG
This 253-nucleotide ribosomal RNA is filed under the name uncultured bacterium. RNAcentral's name for it is "partial 16S ribosomal RNA". It matches the Rfam family "Bacterial small subunit ribosomal RNA", at positions 524 to 776 of the family's 1533-position model. The record is from RNAcentral.